This 1531-nucleotide ribosomal RNA is filed under the name Cellvibrionales bacterium. RNAcentral describes it as "bacterial SSU rRNA". It matches the Rfam family "Bacterial small subunit ribosomal RNA". The record is from RNAcentral. Lineage: Bacteria; Pseudomonadati; Pseudomonadota; Gammaproteobacteria; Cellvibrionales.
UAAACUGAAGAGUUUGAUCAUGGCUCAGAUUGAACGCUGGCGGCAGGCCUAACACAUGCAAGUCGUGCGCGAAAGUCCUUUCGGGGAUGAGUAGAGCGGCGGACGGGUGAGUAACGCGUGGGAAUCUGCCCAGUAGCGGGGGAUAGCUUGGGGAAACCCGGAUUAAUACCGCAUACGCCCUACGGGGGAAAGGUGGCUUUUGCUGCCGCUGUUGGAUGAGCCCGCGUUAGAUUAGUUUGUUGGUGGGGUAAUGGCCUACCAAGACUCCGAUCUAUAGCUGGUCUGAGAGGAUGAUCAGCCACAUUGGGACUGAGACACGGCCCAGACUCCUGCGGGAGGCAGCAGUGGGGAAUAUUGGACAAUGGGCGGAAGCCUGAUCCAGCCAUGCCGCGUGUGUGAAGAAGGCUUUCGGGUUGUAAAGCACUUUCGGCGGGGAGGAAUGGCGUGCGGUUAAUACCCGCGCGCUUGGACGUUAUCCGCAGAAGAAGCACCGGCAAACUCCGUGCCAGCAGCCGCGGUAAUACGGAGGGUGCGAGCGUUAAUCGGAAUUACUGGGCGUAAAGCGCGCGUAGGUGGCCCGUUAAGCAGGGUGUGAAAGCCCGGGGCUUAACCCCGGAAUUGCAUUUUGAACUGGCGGGCUGGAGUAUGGGAGAGGGUAGCGGAAUUUCUGGUGUAGCGGUGGAAUGCGUAGAUAUCAGAAGGAACCUCUGUGGCGAAGGCGGCUGCCUGGCCCUAUACUGACACUGUGGCGCGAAAGCACGGGGAGCGAACAGGAUUAGAUACCCUGGUAGUCCGUGCCGUAAACGAUGUCAAUUAGUCGUUGGGAAACGUGUUUUCUUAGUGGCGCAGCUAACGCGAUAAAUUGACCGCCUGGGGAGUACGGCCGCAAGGUUAAAACUCAAAUGAAUUGACGGGGGCCCGCACAAGCGGUGGAGCAUGUGGUUUAAUUCGAUGCAACGCGAAGAACCUUACCAGGUCUUGACAUCCCCGGAACUUUCCAGAGAUGGAUUGGUGCCUUCGGGAACCGGGAGACAGGUGCUGCAUGGCUGUCGUCAGCUCGUGUCGUGAGAUGUUGGGUUAAGUCCCGUAACGAGCGCAACCCUUGUCCCUAGUUGCUAACAGUUCGGCUGAGAACUUUGGGGAGACUGCCGGUGACAAGCCGGAGGAAGGUGGGGACGACGUCAAGUCAUCAUGGCCCUUACGGCCUGGGCUACACACGUGCUACAAUGGGGCGCACAGAGGGUCGCCAACCCGCAAGGGGGAGCCAAUCCCAGAAAACGCCUCGUAGUCCGGAUUGGAGUCUGCAACUCGACUCCAUGAAGUCGGAAUCGCUAGUAAUCGCGAAUCAGAAUGUCGCGGUGAAUACGUUCCCGGGCCUUGUACACACCGCCCGUCACACCAUGGGAGUGGGUUGCUCCAGAAGUGGCUAGUCUAACUUUUUGAGGACGGUCACCACGGAGUGAUUCAUGACUGGGGUGAAGUCGUAACAAGGUAGCCGUAGGGGAACCUGCGGCUGGAUCACCUCCUUAAA